UGCUUGUCUCAAAGAUUAAGCCAUGCAUGUCUAAGCAUAAGCUGAAAAUGGUUAAGCCGCGAAUGGCUCAUUACAACAGCUGUUGUUUCUUGGAUCUUGUUUUACUUGGAUAACUGUGGUAAUUCUAGAGCUAAUACAUGUAAAAAAGCUCUGACCUUUUGGAAAGAGUGCAUUUAUUAGACCAAGACCAAUCAGGCAUUGCCUGUUUUGAUGGUGACUCUGAAUAACUUUGCUGAUCACAUAGUCCUAGCACUGGUGACAUAUCUUUCAAGUGUCUGCCCUAUCAACUUUCGAUGGUAGUUUAUGUGCCUACCAUGGUUGUAACGGGUGACGGAGAAUGAGGGUUCGACUCCGGAGAGGGAGCCUGAGAAAUGGCUACCACAUCCAAGGAAGGCAGCAGGCGCGCAAAUUACCCACUCUCAGUACGAGGAGGUAGUGACGAAAAAUAACAAGGUGGUUCUCUAUGAGGCCCAUCAUUGGAAUGGGUACAAUUUAAACCCUUUAACGAGGAUCUAUUGGAGGGCAAGUCUGGUGCCAGCAGCCGCGGUAAUUCCAGCUCCAAUAGCAUAUGCCAAUGUUGUUGCUGUUAAAAAGCUCGUAGUUGAAUUAUUCUACGGAUGGGGUCAGUCUUGAUGACUUCGACUCUUUUCCAAGGAUUACACCGUUGGUUUUCCCAGGUUCUCUUUAUUGGGUGCCUUGGGUGGCCAGCACAUUUACUUUGAAAAAAUUAGAGUGCUCAAAACAGGUGUUACUGCCUGUAUAGUGGUGCAUGGAAUAAUGGAAUAGGAUCUCUGUUCUAUUUUGUUGGUUUUAGGAAUGUGAGAUAAUGAUUAACAGGGACAGACGGGGGCAUUUGUAUUGUGGCGUUAGAGGUGAAAUUCUUGGAUCGCUGCAAGACAGACAAUUGCGAAAGCAUUUGCCAAGAAUGUUUUCAUUAAUCAAGAACGAAAGUUAGAGGUUCGAAGGCGAUCAGAUACCGCCCUAGUUCUAACCGUAAACGAUGCAAACUAGCGAUCCGAUGGCGUUAUUACUGACUCAUCGGGGAGCUUCCCGGAAACGAAAGUCUAUAUGUUCCGGGGGAAAUAUGAUUGCAAAAUUGAAACUUAAAGGAAUUGACGGAAGGGCACCACCAGGAGUGGAGCCUGCGGCUUAAUUUGACUCAACACGGGAAAACUCACCCGGCCCGGACACCGUUGGGAUUGACAGAUUGAGAGCUCUUUCUUGAUUCGGUGGGUGGUGGUGCAUGGCCGUUCUUAGUUGGUGGAGCGAUUUGUCUGGUUAAUUCCGAUAACGAACGAGACUCCGACCUGCUAAAUAGAUGGUGAAUCGCUUUGUUCACAAGUCUUCUUAGAGGGACUAGCGGUGCUAACCGCACGAGAUGGAGCAAUAACAGGUCUGUGAUGCCCUUAGAUGUCCGGGGCUGCACGCGCGCUACAAUGAAAGGACCAGCGUGCAAGUUAACCUUGCCCGAAGGGGCUGGGUAACCCAAUGAAAACCUUUCGUGACUGGGAUCGGGAAUUGCAAUUAUUUCCCUUGAACGAGGAAUUCCUAGUAAGUGUGGGUCAUCAGCUCGCGCUGAUUACGUCCCUGCCCUUUGUACACACCGCCCGUCGCUGCCCGGGACUGAACCGUUUCGAGAAGAACAGGGACUGGCAUUGAGUGGCCUUUUCGGGCUGCUCUCUGGCUGGAAACUGUUUUAAUCGGUAUGGUUUGAACCGGGCAAAAGUCGUAACAAGGUUUCUGUAGGUGAACCUGCAGAGGAUCAA
RNAcentral lists this ribosomal RNA (1766 nucleotides) under Perspiria elongata. RNAcentral describes it as "SSU rRNA". It matches the Rfam family "Eukaryotic small subunit ribosomal RNA". The record is from RNAcentral. Lineage: Eukaryota; Metazoa; Nematoda; Chromadorea; Desmodorida; Desmodoridae.